RNAcentral lists this ribosomal RNA (434 nucleotides) under uncultured bacterium. RNAcentral describes it as "partial 16S ribosomal RNA". It matches the Rfam family "Bacterial small subunit ribosomal RNA", at positions 29 to 507 of the family's 1533-position model. The record is from RNAcentral.
AGCGAACGCUGGCGGCAGGCCUAACACAUGCAAGUCGAACGAACCUUUCGGGGUUAGUGGCGGACUGGUGAGUAACACGUGGGAACGUGCCUUUAGGUUCGGAAUAACUCAGGGAAACUUGUGCUAAUACCGAAUGUGCCCUUCGGGGGAAAGAUUAAUCGCCUUUAGAGCGGCCCGCGUCUGAUUAGCUAGUUGGUUGAGGUAAUGGCUCACCAAGGCGACGAUCAGUAGCUGGUCUGAGAGGAUGAUCAGCCACAUUGGGACUGAGACACGGCCCAAACUCCUACGGGAAGCAGCAGUGGGGAAUCUUGCGCAAUGGGCGAAAGCCUGACGCAGCCAUGCCGCGUGAAUGAUGAAGGUCUUAGGAUUGUAAAAUUCUUUCACCGGGGACGAUAAUGACGGUACCCGGAGAAGAAGCCCCGGCUAACUUCGUG